RNAcentral lists this ribosomal RNA (504 nucleotides) under uncultured Geobacter sp. RNAcentral describes it as "bacterial SSU rRNA". It matches the Rfam family "Bacterial small subunit ribosomal RNA", at positions 335 to 830 of the family's 1533-position model. The record is from RNAcentral. Lineage: Bacteria; Pseudomonadati; Thermodesulfobacteriota; Desulfuromonadia; Geobacterales; Geobacteraceae.
ACUCCUACGGGAGGCAGCAGUGGGGAAUUUUGCGCAAUGGGCGAAAGCCUGACGCAGCAACGCCGCGUGAGUGAUGAAGGCUUUCGGGUCGUAAAGCUCUGUCAAUGGGAAAGAAGUGUAUUGUGGCUAAUAUCCACGAUACUUGACGGUACCCAUAAAGGAAGCACCGGCUAACUCCGUGCCAGCAGCCGCGGUAAUACGGGGGGUGCAAGCGUUGUUCGGAAUUAUUGGGCGUAAAGCGCGUGUAGGCGGUUUGAUUAGUCUGAUGUGAAAGCCCCGGGCUCAACCCGGGAAGUGCAUUGGAAACUGUCAGACUUGAAUACGGGAGAGGGUAGUGGAAUUCCUAGUGUAGGAGUGAAAUCCGUAGAUAUUAGGAGGAACACCGGUGGCGAAGGCGGCUGCCUGGACCGAUAUUGACGCUGAGACGCGAAAGCGUGGGUAGCAAACAGGAUUAGAUACCCUGGUAGUCCACGCCGUAAACGAUGAGAACUAGGUGUUGCGGGU